Molecule: unclassified non-coding RNA, 572 nt
Filed under: Mesechthistatus furciferus
Lineage: Eukaryota; Metazoa; Arthropoda; Insecta; Coleoptera; Cerambycidae
Description: partial contains 18S rRNA, ITS1 and 5.8S rRNA
Source: RNAcentral
GUAAAUCAAUAUAAUCAUAUUUCGAACUCCGCGGAUUGUCCGAAAGGACGACGUCUGUCUGUCUGUCUGUCUGCAUCGCGUAGUCAGUAGUUAUUAUGCUUCGACGAGGUCGGCCGGCUCGACGCUGGCGAGCUCGCUAUUGAAAUAAAGCGAAUUCGCCGGCAGUCCGGUAAACGACGACGUUACUUCGGGUACCUGGGAGAAGAGGUAAUAACUAACUACCUCUCUCCGCGGAAGGACGCGGCGGCUAUUCGUUAGCCUCCUCGUCCUCCGAGGUAUUGAAAGAUUUUCGCCCGACCGUCGAGGAAGCAGACGACGUGCCUCUCGCUCGACAUCCCAUAACGAGGGGCGAAAGGAGACUCGCGUCUUCGCCGCUAGCACACCGCGUCUGUACGUGACCACGUGUAGUAGUGCGUUAUAAAGCGGCGAAACUCGACGAACGUCUCACUCUCCCCUUUUUUCGAUUUCAAACACUUGCCACCUUUCGAUAUGUGAACGUCGCAAGAGAGACGCUUACGCGCCUCCUCGUGCCACGUCAAAAUCUUUAACGAUUACCCUGAACGGUGAAUCAC